UGGGGAAUAUUGGGCAAUGGGCGAAAGCCUGACCCAGCAACGCCGCGUGAAGGAAGAAGGCCUUCGGGUUGUAAACUUCUUUUACCAGGGACGAAACAAAUGACGGUACCUGGAGAAAAAGCAACGGCUAACUACGUGCCAGCAGCCGCGGUAAUACGUAGGUUGCAAGCGUUGUCCGGAUUUACUGGGUGUAAAGGGCGUGUAGGCGGAGAUGCAAGUUGGGAGUGAAAUCCCGGGGCUCAACCCCGGAACUGCUUUCAAAACUGUAUCCCUUGAGUAUCGGAGAGGCAAGCGGAAUUCCUAGUGUAGCGGUGAAAUGCGUAGAUAUUAGGAGGAACACCAGUGGCGAAGGCGGCUUGCUGGACGACAACUGACGCUGAGGCGCGAAAGCGUGGGGAGCAAACAGGAUUAGAUACCCUGGUA
This 423-nucleotide ribosomal RNA is filed under the name uncultured bacterium. Its description in RNAcentral is "bacterial SSU rRNA". It matches the Rfam family "Bacterial small subunit ribosomal RNA", at positions 355 to 792 of the family's 1533-position model. The record is from RNAcentral.